This 404-nucleotide ribosomal RNA is filed under the name uncultured bacterium. RNAcentral describes it as "bacterial SSU rRNA". It matches the Rfam family "Bacterial small subunit ribosomal RNA", at positions 355 to 776 of the family's 1533-position model. The record is from RNAcentral.
UGGGGAAUAUUGCGCAAUGGGGGGAACCCUGACGCAGCAACGCCGCGUGGAGGAAGAAGGCCUUCGGGUUGUAAACUCCUGUCUUUAGGGACGAUAAUGACGGUACCUAAGGAGGAAGCCACGGCUAACUACGUGCCAGCAGCCGCGGUAAUACGUAGGUGGCGAGCGUUGUCCGGAAUUACUGGGCGUAAAGGGUGCGUAGGCGGAUACUUAAGUCAGAUGUGAAACUCCGGGGCUUAACUUCGGGACUGCAUUUGAAACUGGGUAUCUAGAGUGCAGGAGAGGGAAGCGGAAUUCCUAGUGUAGCGGUGAAAUGCGUAGAUAUUAGGAAGAACACCAGUGGCGAAGGCGGCUUUCUGGACUGUAACUGACGCUGAGGCACGAAAGCGUGGGGAGCGAACAGG